CUCCCUGAAGACGAGCGAAAGACGUAGGAUUAGGAAGAUAAGUGUUUCAUGGCCUCAGUUGCAUCCUUCUUAAAAGCCCCAUGGUAGAAUGAGAUGACCUGACUCGUGCCUGAACUCUCCAACUACAGUAACCCGUUGUUUCAUCUUUUAAGGAGAGUAGAGUGGCCAGAUUCCUUGAUAAUGAUCCAAACUGACCACGUCUAUUGGACUUACAUUCCUUUCAAGCAAAGUAAGAAGAAAAUUUUGAGGCUCAAAAGAAUAGACAGUAUUGUUAGAAAAGUGCCACUAAGAGACAUCAGUCUAGCCCAAGGCAUUGGAGCACAUCUGGAAUCCCAGGUACUCUGGAGCUGAAGCAG
Molecule: long non-coding RNA, 356 nt
Filed under: Heterocephalus glaber (naked mole-rat)
Lineage: Eukaryota; Metazoa; Chordata; Mammalia; Rodentia; Bathyergidae
Description: lncRNA (ENSHGLG00100049389.1)
Source: RNAcentral